UACAGAGGUGGCAAGCGUUGUUCGGAAUUACUGGGCGUAAAGGGCGCGUAGGCGGUUUCGUAAGUCCUGUGUGAAAUCCCCCGGCUCAACUGGGGAACUGCACAGGAAACUGCGAGGCUUGAGUUCGGGAGAGGGAAGCGGAAUUCCGGGUGUAGCGGUGAAAUGCGUAGAUAUCCGGAGGAACACCAGUGGCGAAGGCGGCUUCCUGGCCUGUUCUUGACGCUGAGGCGCGAAAGCUAGGGGAGCAAACGGG
This 253-nucleotide ribosomal RNA is filed under the name uncultured bacterium. Its description in RNAcentral is "partial 16S ribosomal RNA". It matches the Rfam family "Bacterial small subunit ribosomal RNA", at positions 524 to 776 of the family's 1533-position model. The record is from RNAcentral.